RNAcentral lists this ribosomal RNA (707 nucleotides) under Streptomyces sp. YIM 63595. RNAcentral's name for it is "bacterial SSU rRNA". It matches the Rfam family "Bacterial small subunit ribosomal RNA", at positions 57 to 779 of the family's 1533-position model. The record is from RNAcentral. Lineage: Bacteria; Bacillati; Actinomycetota; Actinomycetes; Kitasatosporales; Streptomycetaceae.
GCAGUCGAACGAUGAACCGGUUUCGGCCGGGGAUUAGUGGCGAACGGGUGAGUAACACGUGGGCAAUCUGCCCUGCACUCUGGGACAAGCCCUGGAAACGGGGUCUAAUACCGGAUAUGACGCGCUUCCGCAUGGGAUGCGCGUGGAAAGCUCCGGCGGUGCAGGAUGAGCCCGCGGCCUAUCAGCUUGUUGGUGAGGUAAUGGCUCACCAAGGCGACGACGGGUAGCCGGCCUGAGAGGGCGACCGGCCACACUGGGACUGAGACACGGCCCAGACUCCUACGGGAGGCAGCAGUGGGGAAUAUUGCACAAUGGGCGAAAGCCUGAUGCAGCGACGCCGCGUGAGGGAUGACGGCCUUCGGGUUGUAAACCUCUUUCAGCAGGGAAGAAGCGAGAGUGACGGUACCUGCAGAAGAAGCGCCGGCUAACUACGUGCCAGCAGCCGCGGUAAUACGUAGGGCGCAAGCGUUGUCCGGAAUUAUUGGGCGUAAAGAGCUCGUAGGCGGCUUGUCGCGUCGGAUGUGAAAGCCCGGGGCUUAACCCCGGGUCUGCAUUCGAUACGGGCAGGCUAGAGUUCGGUAGGGGAGAUCGGAAUUCCUGGUGUAGCGGUGAAAUGCGCAGAUAUCAGGAGGAACACCGGUGGCGAAGGCGGAUCUCUGGGCCGACACUGACGCUGAGGAGCGAAAGCGUGGGGAGCGAACAGGAUU